AGAGUUUGAUCAUGGCUCAGAAUCAACGCUGGCGGCGCGCCUAACACAUGCAAGUCGAACGAGAAAGCAGGAGCAAUCUUGUGAGUAAAGUGGCGUACGGGUGAGUAACACGUGGAUUAUCUACCCUCUUGUGGGGGAUAACCCUGGGAAACCGGGGCUAAUACCGCAUAAGCUCGAGAGAGGAAAGCAGCAAUGCGCAGGAGGAGGAGUCCGCGGCCGAUUAGCUAGUUGGUAGGGUAAAAGCCUACCAAGGCUACGAUCGGUAGCCGGCCUGAGAGGGCACACGGCCACACUGGCACUGAAACACGGGCCAGACUCCUACGGGAGGCAGCAGUGGGGAAUCUUGCACAAUGGGGGCAACCCUGAUGCAGCGACGCCGCGUGAGCGAUGAAGCCCUUCGGGGUGUAAAGCUCUUUCGGCAGGGAAGAUUAUGACGGUACCUGCAGAAGCAGCUGCGGCUAACUACGUGCCAGCAGCCGCGGUAAUACGUAGGCAGCAAGCGUUGUUCGGAGUUACUGGGCGUAAAGGGUGUGUAGGCGGUUCUCUAAGUCUGGUGUGAAAUCUCCCGGCUCAACUGGGAGGGUGCGCCGAAAACUGGAGGACUAGAGUGCGGGAUGGGAGAGUGGAAUUCCUGGUGUAGCGGUGAAAUGCGUAGAUAUCAGGAGGAACACCUGUGGUGUAGACGGCUCUCUGGACCGCAACUGACGCUGAGACACGAAAGCGUGGGUAGCAAACAGGAUUAGAUACCCCAGUAGUCC
This 758-nucleotide ribosomal RNA is filed under the name uncultured bacterium. RNAcentral's name for it is "bacterial SSU rRNA". It matches the Rfam family "Bacterial small subunit ribosomal RNA", at positions 8 to 796 of the family's 1533-position model. The record is from RNAcentral.